RNAcentral lists this ribosomal RNA (253 nucleotides) under uncultured bacterium. RNAcentral describes it as "partial 16S ribosomal RNA". It matches the Rfam family "Bacterial small subunit ribosomal RNA", at positions 524 to 776 of the family's 1533-position model. The record is from RNAcentral.
UACGUAGGUGGCAAGCGUUGUCCGGAUUUAUUGGGCUUAAAGGGCGCGUAGGUGGUCAAUUAAGUCAGUGCUGAAAUAUCCCGGCUUAACCGGGAGGGUGGCAUUGAUACUGAAUGACUUGAGUGGAGUUGAGGUAGGCGGAAUUGACGGUGUAGCGGUGAAAUGCUUAGAUAUCGUCAAGAACACCGAUAGCGAAGGCAGCUUACCAAGCUCUAACUGACACUGAUGCACGAAAGUGUGGGGAUCAAACAGG